Long non-coding RNA from Esox lucius (northern pike), 442 nucleotides. RefSeq lists it as uncharacterized. The transcript is spliced from 3 exons. Lineage: Eukaryota; Metazoa; Chordata; Actinopteri; Esociformes; Esocidae. The record is from RefSeq and is a predicted model, not a curated record.
UUCAGAACUUUCUGGUAAAGUGCAGACUUCAUUGUUCCUUCAUGUUCUUCCAGUCCUGAGGCAGGAAAAUAUCCCUACACCACAACACUACCACCCCGAUGUUUUACUGUUGGGAUAAUCUAAUUUGUGGGAAAUGCAGGGUUUGCUUUACGCCAAACAUAACAGUACCAGUGUUUUUUUUUUUAAAGUUACACUUUUAACUAAUUUUUCCACAGAACAAAUCAACCUGUUGUACGAUAAGGUGCAGGCCCAUUUUCAUCCAGCACUGACAAACAAAUGUAUCUAGGCCCAUAAGAAGCUGCUCUUCACAUCCCCUCUGUGGCUCAUCACAGUCACUUCUACCUGAAGGUUGCCUGAACAAGGGUGUAAAAGAUCAAGAAAAAGAAGAAAGUAGACUGGAGUCAGCCCCUGACUCUUGUCUUUGCUCCGCUCCUACCCAUAG